AAAUUUAGAAGCCAGAAGAACAUAUUGAAGGUAAUAACAACUUGGUACUACAAACACAUUCUUUGACAUGCUAUGAUACUUGAAUUUCUAAAACAACAGUGUACCAUAUAUGUGUGAACUUUUUUUCAUCUGUUCUACUCUUUUUGAUUAUGUGUUAUAAACCACUGAAGUCUAGCAACAUCGAACAUCCUCUUCCCUUUAUGUAAAAGCUGAUUGUAAGCUUAAAAG
RNAcentral lists this unclassified non-coding RNA (228 nucleotides) under Hevea brasiliensis (rubber tree). Lineage: Eukaryota; Viridiplantae; Streptophyta; Magnoliopsida; Malpighiales; Euphorbiaceae. The record is from RNAcentral.